Molecule: unclassified non-coding RNA, 400 nt
Filed under: uncultured fungus
Lineage: Eukaryota; Fungi
Description: sequence contains ITS1
Rfam family: 5.8S ribosomal RNA (bases 1-111)
Source: RNAcentral
GAAAUGCGAUACGUAAUGUGAAUUGCAGAACUCCGUGAAUCAUCAAAUUCUUGAACGUAAAUGGCGGUGCCCAACUCUUCGGGGUUGGACACCACAUCUGUGUGAGCGUCAUUUAAAUCACAAUAUCCCGCUGCGCCCGCGUGGUGUAGCGUGCGAUGAUGUGGCGGUUCCAGCAGCCCACACAUAUGUGUGGGUGGCUGAAUCCGUUCAAGUGAGCAAGGACGCGCGUGCCACACAAUGGCUCGUCUGCGCUCCUGAUAUAGUAUUGGUUUUCCACACUGCAUCAGGAACACUAACAAACCAUGGUACGAACAACGCGAACUUGAAUGCACUCUGCCUUGCACAAGGCGGAGCCUUCAAAUAUGACCUCAUAUCAGGUGAGAAGACCCGCUGAAUUUAA